This 89-nucleotide microRNA precursor is filed under the name Medicago truncatula (barrel medic). Its description in RNAcentral is "MIR2617 microRNA precursor family". It matches the Rfam family "MIR2617 microRNA precursor family". The record is from Rfam by way of RNAcentral. Lineage: Eukaryota; Viridiplantae; Streptophyta; Magnoliopsida; Fabales; Fabaceae.
AAGUAGUGUGACAUGCCCGUUUGAGAUAUACUCUGAAGUAUGUUUAUUAUUUAUUUAAUUGCUUUGGGAUAACGGGAUGUUACAUAAAU